UUCACUUAAAAUGGAAGGGAAAUAUCAUAAAAUGUUAAGAAAAAAGGCUCUUCUUAAAGAACCUUUUCACACCAACUUUGCAAAACUCCUCACUUCAAGUGCAGGAUUUCCUUCUGUCUGUUCAGUGGGUUUAUACUUAUAAUAUCCUUAUAAUAAAGGGACAGUCUUCUGAGUUACAUUGAGGCUUUCUGUGUGACUGUCGGUAACAGGCAAUACUGUAUUUGGAAACGUUGCUUCUGAAAUUCUGGUUUAAUUCUAAGAAUAUUAAAAUGAAUUCAUCAAAGCCCCGGCCACUUCUUUGCUUAUAGGAAAAGAAAGGUAUAUUUUAUGUUAAGCCUUUUCUCCAGAAUAUGCUUUAAGCAUUUGUCACUCAAUGGAGGUGACAAAGAAAUAAAGGAAAUUCAAUUAUGUAUGUUCUGAAGAAAUCAUGUCCUUGUUCAGUGGCCUCUGAAGUGACACAAAAAUAUUUCUUGUUUCCUGCAUCUGGAGUUUUCAGGCAAGAUCUUUGUACUUAGAAUUCUGUUUAUAUGAACACCAAAGAUUCUGGCAUGAUAUGUCCUGGAACGAUGACUAAUAGUUUCUAUUAAAUAGCUAUGGAUACAUUUAUUGAGUCCUGCUUUUGGGUUUAUUUGCCCUCUUUGGGUCUUUUGUACAUUUUGUAUGUCUGUCCUGAGGCCUUUAUGCCUAGGGCAACUUUUUAAUCAAAUAAUACAUAUAUAUUUAUUAGGUUUCUAAUGUAUAGAGUUUGUUCUCACCAUGACUUUAAACUUUAUUUCAUUGCUAAAGUUAGACAUAGAUUUGCCAGAUUAGCCUCAUAGUUUGGACAUUUUUUGUUGUAACCUGAAAAUGUAGCUUAUAACCCCAUAGGCCUGGUAGAUGAUGACUAGAAACAUUUUGGAUUCAGUAGAAUCUCUUAUAGAAACUCAUUUAUUUGUUAAUGUAAAGAACUUGGUGAUUUCAUAAAAUGAAAGCUGUAUACAACUUAAGUUCUUCCAUCUUUCUUGUAAGAAUGACUUUAAGAUUCUUUUUAUUCUACCACUUAUAAGUUAAUUGGGAAUAAAAAGGUAGAUUUACCAAUUUAGUAUAAUUUAACACUAAGCAUCUGUUUAGAAAUGUAAUCACCACAGUUAAUACUUAGAAAAGUCAUAUAGAAAAAUACAGUACUGUUCUUUGAAGAUGGGUUUAUUUCCCCCCUUUUGAUGGAUUGUCAAUAUGAAUGUAUAUUUUCUGGCCACUUAGCUUUUAAUUGAUUUACGUGAAAAAAAGCAUAUGUGUGCCUGUUCACUCAAACCAUAUUUAAAAUUCUCUUUUUAAGCUGCUACAAUUAUAAUAUAUGAAAGAAGAAAGAGAAAGGUGAAUUGAGGAAGAGGGAAAUUU
RNAcentral lists this long non-coding RNA (1377 nucleotides) under Bos taurus (domestic cattle). Its description in RNAcentral is "long non-coding RNA NONBTAT024957". Lineage: Eukaryota; Metazoa; Chordata; Mammalia; Artiodactyla; Bovidae. The record is from RNAcentral.